Molecule: ribosomal RNA, 343 nt
Filed under: uncultured bacterium
Lineage: Bacteria
Description: bacterial SSU rRNA
Rfam family: Bacterial small subunit ribosomal RNA
Source: RNAcentral
AUUGAACGCUGGCGGCAUGCCUUACACAUGCAAGUCGAACGGCAGCACGGGAGCUUGCUCCUGGUGGCGAGUGGCGAACGGGUGAGUAAUACAUCGGAACGUACCCUGAAGUGGGGGAUAACGUAGCGAAAGUUACGCUAAUACCGCAUAUUCUGUGAGCAGGAAAGGAGGGGGAUCGCAAGACCUCUUGCUUUAGGAGCGGCCGAUGUCGGAUUAGCUAGUUGGUGAGGUAAAGGCUCACCAAGGCGACGAUCCGUAGCGGGUCUGAGACGGAUGAUCCGCCACACUGGGACUGAGACACGGCCCAGACUCCUACGGGAGGCAGCAGUGGGGAAUUUUGGAC